Molecule: unclassified non-coding RNA, 236 nt
Filed under: Hevea brasiliensis (rubber tree)
Lineage: Eukaryota; Viridiplantae; Streptophyta; Magnoliopsida; Malpighiales; Euphorbiaceae
Source: RNAcentral
GACUCCAUCACUUUAGCAGUUAUGUUCUGAUCUCGGGGAACAUCCACUAACAAUGCAGGACCGUUGAGAACGGCGAGAUCGAGUGUAUCGACAUCAAACCCCGCAUCGAAGUAAUGAUCAAACACGUGGCCGGGGGCGUCAACAUGGGUGCCGGUGUGGGUGCCCAUCUUCAUCUCCGAAUUAUUAGCAAUCGAUCCGUUUUUCAUGGACUUGGGGAGCGAUAUGUACUGUCCAAC